GAGUGAACUGAGGCACUGGUCACCUUGUCAAGGAAUCCGUGCAAUGCACAAACGGGUUCGUGAUGUCAGAGGAAUCCAGCCUUGCUACAGGAAUGAUGUGGCUCUAAUAAUGAGAGAACUUGAUGGUAGUGGUCUUCUUAAUAGAUGUCCUGGGAAAAAAAGAAUUGAACGUAGGAACUACUUCAGCCGUGGACCAAAUUACACUUGGCAUAUUGAUGAUGCAAGUGGCAUUUCACUUCCGGGAGUCUAGUGAUCAAGGAAGAGAUUCCUUCAGAGUGGGGACAUCGGUACAUAAUCAGGCCAUGAUGCAGUCUGGCAUGCUCGAUUUGGACAAUCCUGUAAACAUGUAAGUUAAAAUUUGUUGUCA
Long non-coding RNA from Carassius carassius (crucian carp), 367 nucleotides. RefSeq lists it as uncharacterized. The record is from RefSeq and is a predicted model, not a curated record. The transcript is spliced from 4 exons. Lineage: Eukaryota; Metazoa; Chordata; Actinopteri; Cypriniformes; Cyprinidae.